This is a long non-coding RNA of Vespa mandarinia (Asian giant hornet), 549 nucleotides long. The record is from RefSeq and is a predicted model, not a curated record. Lineage: Eukaryota; Metazoa; Arthropoda; Insecta; Hymenoptera; Vespidae.
GAUGGCUUUACAAGUUCUUUUAUCGAUCGGUGAGAUCGAGCUUCGAAGACAGUGUUUGUAUAAUUAUCUACUACUACGUCCUAAUUUAACAUAGAAAUGGAGGGAUAAUAGAAGAGAUAUGUAAAAGGAAGUUUGGCAAAGCAGACAUAGAUAUCCUUCGCCAGAAAGCACUUCAUUGGUAAGAUAAAACUAACAAUAAGUCGUCCUUGGAAGAUCCGUUAACGCGGUUAAUCUUAUCGAUCCUCAAGAAAAAUCCAACAACGUUUGUCUUUCCAUCGUGCGAAUAGUGAGGGGCUCAAGCGAACGGAGCCAGGGUAAGGGCACUCAAGAACAAAGUGUUGGAAAACAAAGUUAGGCAGCCGCAAAUUUGUAGAGAUAACACACACGGCAAGCGUACUUUUCAAACGGAAUACUCCAUUGGAGGAUGCGUUUACCGUCGAAAGUUCGAUGUUCCUCUAAUACGAGAGAAUAUACCUACGUAUUUUGCUUCCUACAUUGCCGUAUUUUAUCUCUUUUCAAGGGAGUUCGUCGUUGCACCUAAAAAAUAAA